This 301-nucleotide ribosomal RNA is filed under the name uncultured bacterium. Its description in RNAcentral is "partial 16S ribosomal RNA". It matches the Rfam family "Bacterial small subunit ribosomal RNA", at positions 510 to 808 of the family's 1533-position model. The record is from RNAcentral.
CAUCGCCACGGGAAUACGUAGGGUGCAAGCGUUAAUCGGAAUUACUGGGCGUAAAGCGUGCGCAGGCGGUUCUAUAAGACAGAUGUGAAAUCCCCGGGCUCAACCUGGGAACUGCAUUUGUAACUGUAGAGCUGGAGUGCGGCAGAGGGGGAUGGAAUUCCGCGUGUAGCAGUGAAAUGCGUAGAUAUGCGGAGGAACACCGAUGGCGAAGGCAAUCCCCUGGGCCUGCACUGACGCUCAUGCACGAAAGCGUGGGGAGCAAACAGGAUUAGAUACCCGGGUAGUCCCUGUCUCUUAUACA